Long non-coding RNA from Cygnus atratus (black swan), 786 nucleotides. RefSeq lists it as uncharacterized. The record is from RefSeq and is a predicted model, not a curated record. Lineage: Eukaryota; Metazoa; Chordata; Aves; Anseriformes; Anatidae. The transcript is spliced from 4 exons.
AGCCUAAAUGUAUGGAACAUACAGAAACUCCUUCCGGAAGCGUACCUGCUAAGUAACAACCAUUAAGAAAUAUCUUCACGCCACCACCAUCCUUCCCCACCUGAUAAUUACAGGUUAUUUAUAAACAUCAUAUUUAUAUUACCAGCCUUUUCUGGUGAUAUAAGACUCCCUGAAAGUGCAUGUGCGAACUAGCUGCACGCUUCUGACACCAUCACUUGAAGAGCUUGCAGUUUCUUCUUCAGACAUGCCUUUGCCGAAGAAAGAUGGUAGAAGACUGCUGAGACCCCUAGCAAGAGAGACAGGCAGCAAAAGUUCAGACACUUUGAACUGGCAGCCCAGCAGCUCCUUGGUGACGUGGCCGUCUUACAGAAUGUCCAUGGCCCUUGAUGAUUUCAUUCAUGGCUCUCAUUCUGGCAGCAGCAGACGGCAUGUUGCUUCUGGGCUGGCGUAGUGCUUCCCUCGGCCGUGCCAGUGGAAUGGUCUGGUCCGGAUAGCCCUCACCUUUUGGACACUUGUCUUCAGUUUUCCUCAAGUUGAGAGUUUCUGUGCAUCUGGGAAACUGGUGACAGAAAACAUAGCCUUUUAGAGGCUGAAAACAGUGAAAGAAGAGGCUGCCUUCAGCAGAGAAGGAAAGGAAAAGCAGAACGUUUGAGUUCUACUUUCAGUUGUGUUUGUCACAUAGUAGAAGUACUCGCUGAAUUACAGGCUGUACUAAAUACUACUUUGUGUGCCCCCGAUUGCUAAGCUCCGUAUAUUCCCACCACUUUCACAGGUUGCAUUUUUAAU